GGGAGUUUGAUCCUGGCUCAGGACGAACGCUGGCGGCGUGCUUAACACAUGCAAGUCGAACGAUGAAGCCGCUUCGGUGGUGGAUUAGUGGCGAACGGGUGAGUAACACGUGGGUAACCUGCCCCUGGCUUUGGGAUAACUCCGGGAAACCGGGGCUAAUACCGGAUAUUCACUUCCGCGGGCAUCCGUGGUGGUGGAAAGGGUUUCUGGCUGGGGAUGGGCCCGCGGCCUAUCAGCUUGUUGGUGGGGUGAUGGCCUACCAAGGCUUUGACGGGUAGCCGGCCUGAGAGGGCGACCGGCCACACGGGAACUGAGACACGGUCCCGACUCCUACGGGGGGCAGCAGUGAGGAAUAUUGCACAAUGGACGCAAGUCUGAUGCAGCAACGCCGCGUGGAGGAAGACGGUCUUUGGAUUGUAAACUCCUUUUCUCAGGGAAGAGCGAGGACGGUACCUGAGGAAUCAGUCACGGCUAACUACGUGCCAGCAGCCGCGGUAAUACGUAGGUGGCGAGCGUUAUCCGGAAUUACUGGGCGUAAAGCGUCCGCAGGCGGUGCGUUAAGUUUGACGUGAAAGCUCCCGGCUUAACUGGGAGAGGUCGUUGAAGACUGGCGCACUUGAGGCCAGGCGAGGGGUGUAGAAUUCCCGGUGUAGUGGUGGAAUGCGUAGAGAUCGGGAGGAAUACCAGUGGCGCAAGCGGCACCCUAGCCUGGGCCUGACGCUCAGGGACGAAAGCGUGGGGAGCGAACGGGAUUAGAUACCCCGGUAGUCCACGCCGUAAACGAUGAACACUAGGUGUAGGUGGUGUGAAAGCUAUCUGUGCCGAAGCCAACGCGUUAAGUGUUCCGCCUGGGGAGUACGGUCGCAAGGCUAAAACUCAAAGGAAUUGACGGGGACCCGCACAAGCGGUGGAGUAUGUGGUUUAAUUCGUCGCAACGCGAAGAACCUUACCAGGCCUUGACAUCCCGAUUAAGAGGACCAGAGAUGGACCUCGUCAGUUCGGCUGGAUCGGUGACAGGUGCUGCAUGGCUGUCCUCAGCUCGUGUCCUGGAAAGUUUGGGUUAAGUCCCCGCACCGAAGCCCACCCCCUUUUUGCAUUUGCCACCACCUAAAGGGUGGGAAACUCUGACAAAAUUCGCCCGUGAAUAACCCCGGAGAAAAAGCGGGGGAUAAACUGCAAAGCCUCCAGGGGGCCUUUAGGGCCUGGGGGCACACCCUGUUUUAACUAGGGUGGUGGGAACAAUGGGCGCCGCAGGCGGUGGUGGCGACGCCAAAUCUUUCAAAACAGCCUCUCCUCUCAAAAAUGGUGGCCGCUCACCCCCGCCAAGCAAGAAAUGUGGAAAACGCCCUAUAAACC
RNAcentral lists this ribosomal RNA (1356 nucleotides) under uncultured bacterium. Its description in RNAcentral is "partial 16S ribosomal RNA". It matches the Rfam family "Bacterial small subunit ribosomal RNA", at positions 9 to 1354 of the family's 1533-position model. The record is from RNAcentral.